UUUGACCUCAAAUCAGGUAGGACUACCCGCUGAACUUAAGCAUAUCAAUAAGCGGAGGAAAAGAAACCAACAGGGAUUGCCUCAGUAGCGGCGAGUGAAGCGGCAAAAGCUCAAAUUUGAAAUCUGGCGUCUUUGGCGUCCGAGUUGUAAUUUGAAGAAGGUAUCUUUGGGCCCGGCUCUUGUCUAUGUUCCUUGGAACAGGACGUCACAGAGGGUGAGAAUCCCGUGCGAUGAGAUGACCCGGGUCUGUGUAAAGUUCCUUCGACGAGUCGAGUUGUUGGGGGAAUGGC
This 290-nucleotide ribosomal RNA is filed under the name Candida albicans. Its description in RNAcentral is "partial 28S ribosomal RNA". It matches the Rfam family "Eukaryotic large subunit ribosomal RNA", at positions 1 to 283 of the family's 3401-position model. Lineage: Eukaryota; Fungi; Ascomycota; Pichiomycetes; Serinales; Debaryomycetaceae. The record is from RNAcentral.